AUGCCCGUGCCCUGUUCGUCUUGUUCCGCUCGCGUCGCCUCUGUUUCCGCGCUGUUUGCUCUGUUCCUCGCCGCCGCUCUGGUCUUGCUUCAGCCCGGCAGCCAGCCGCGAGCUGUGACGGCAUGGCUCCGGAGCGCCGACUACAGCCGGCGGUGCAGCAAGCAGCAACGUUGCAGGCCCGCGCGGAGCGAGGCCGCGUUGCCUAGAGGCAUCAUUGAGAGCCACUCGGACUUGGAGAUGCGAUCCAUUCAUGACGAUCUAACAAGUUGGCCUCCGCCAGCAGAAAGUGGCAAAAGGAGAAGCCUGCUGGCCGUUGCUGCUGGAAUCAAGCAGAAGGAGGUUGUGGAUAGGAUCGCCACCAAGUUCUUCUCCGACGGUUUCAGCAUAAUGAUCUUCCACUACGACGGCGUGGUGGAGCAGUGGGGGGAUCUGCGGUGGAGCAGCGCCGCCGUGCACGUCUCGGCGGUCAACCAGACGAAAUGGUGGUUCGCCAAGCGGUUCCUGCACCCGGACAUCGUCCACGAGUACGACUACAUCUUCGUCUGGGACGAAGACCUUGGAGUGCAGCAUUUUCAUCCUGCCAGAUAUGUGGCGAUUGUUGAAAAGGAAGGGCUUCAGAUAUCACAGCCUGCUCUAGACGCUACCAAUUCCAAGGUUCAUCACUGGAUCACUGCGCGUGCGCGGAAAGGGGGCUUCCAUAGAAGGAUUUACAAGCAAAAGGGAGUCACCAGGUGCUAUGAAAACAGUACGGCGCUUCCAUGCACUGGAUUUGUCGAAAUUGUGGCUCCCGUGUUCUCAAGAGCAGCAUGGCAUUGUGUGUGGCAUAUGAUCCAGAACUAUCUGAUUCAUGCAUGGGGCUUGGACUUCAAAUUCGGCUGUUGCGCUCAGGGGGGUCGGAGUAAGAACGUUGGAGUAGUCGACAGCGAGUACCUCCUUCAUUUGGGCAUCCCCACACUCGGCUCCUCUUCUUCUCCUCCUUCUAAAGACAACAAGAGUAGCUCCGAUGCAGCACCAGGAGAUGAAUCGGAGGCGCCUAUAGAAUCAAUGAUGGCGCCUCCUCCUGAAGCAUCGCCCAGCUUCGGUGACAGAUCAUUGAUUAGGCAUCGGGCUCAAGAGGAACAGGUCCGUUUUCAAGAAAGAUGGAAGUAUGCUACUCAAUCUGAUGCAUGUUGGGUUGAUCCAUAUGUUAACUAA
This 1194-nucleotide ribosomal RNA is filed under the name Triticum aestivum (bread wheat). RNAcentral describes it as "partial small subunit ribosomal RNA". Lineage: Eukaryota; Viridiplantae; Streptophyta; Magnoliopsida; Poales; Poaceae. The record is from RNAcentral.